GUUCAGUAAUAACUUUCCUUCGGCUCCUUCUCCAAGCUGCAGUAGCAAUAUUGGGUUCGCUGUGCGAGAAACUCAAUUUUCUGUCAAUGGAAGUAGACCGCAACAUCAUAUUCCUCAAUGAAGGUCCUGCGGCAUUUGAAGAUGCUUCUAGUCUCCUCUGGCAUUGAAGGGCAUCAUCUUUCUCGGAACUCUCAGGAUCAAUUCUCUCUGAAAACCCAUAAAGA
RNAcentral lists this unclassified non-coding RNA (224 nucleotides) under Hevea brasiliensis (rubber tree). Lineage: Eukaryota; Viridiplantae; Streptophyta; Magnoliopsida; Malpighiales; Euphorbiaceae. The record is from RNAcentral.